This 258-nucleotide ribosomal RNA is filed under the name uncultured bacterium. Its description in RNAcentral is "partial 16S ribosomal RNA". It matches the Rfam family "Bacterial small subunit ribosomal RNA", at positions 96 to 354 of the family's 1533-position model. The record is from RNAcentral.
UGGCGGACGGGUGAGUAACGCGUGGGUAACCUGCCGUAUACAGGGGGAUAACACUUAGAAAUAGGUGCUAAAACCGCAUAAGCGCACAGCGCCGCAUGGCGCAGUGUGAAAAACUCCGGUGGUAUACGAUGGACCCGCGUCUGAUUAGCCAGUUGGCAGGGUAACGGCCUACCAAAGCGACGAUCAGUAGCCGGCCUGAGAGGGUGGACGGCCACAUUGGGACUGAGACACGGCCCAAACUCCUACGGAAGGCAGCAG